GGGCGUAUAGCUCAGUUGGUAGAGCGCUUCCCUUACAAGGAAGUGGUCGGGGGUUCGAGUCCCUCUGCGCCCA
This 73-nucleotide transfer RNA is filed under the name Actinomycetota bacterium. RNAcentral's name for it is "tRNA-Val". It matches the Rfam family "tRNA". Rfam says of the family: Transfer RNA (tRNA) molecules are approximately 80 nucleotides in length. The record is from RNAcentral. Lineage: Bacteria; Bacillati; Actinomycetota.